RNAcentral lists this ribosomal RNA (506 nucleotides) under uncultured bacterium. Its description in RNAcentral is "bacterial SSU rRNA". It matches the Rfam family "Bacterial small subunit ribosomal RNA", at positions 538 to 1050 of the family's 1533-position model. The record is from RNAcentral.
GCGUUGUUCGGAAUCACGUGGGCGUAAAGCGUAUGUAGGCGGAUCAAAAAGUUAGAUGUGAAAUCCCUGGGCUCAGCCCAGGAACUGCAUUUAAAACUAGUGAUCUAGAAAUUGGUAAGGGUUAGUAGAAUUUCCAGUGUAGAGGUGAAAUUCGUAGAUAUUGGAAAGAAUACCAGAAGCGAAGGCGAUUUUCUGGACUGAUAUUGACGCUGAGAUGCGAAGGCAUGGGUAGCAAACGGGAUUAGAUACCCCGGUAGUCCAUGCAGUAAACGAUGGGUGCUAGUCGUCGGACUUAUGUUCGGUGUCGUAGCUAACGCGUUAAGUAUCCCGCCUGGGGAGUACGGUCGCAAGACUAAAACUCAAAGGAAUUGACGGGACCCCGCACAAGCGGCGGAGCAUGCGGCUUAAUUCGAUGAUACCCGUAGAACCUUACCUGGACUUGACAUAUAGGGUCAAGCUAUAGAGAUAUAGUGUGCAUUAGCGCCCUAUACAGGUGGUGCAUGGCU